GAUAAAGCUAAGAUAGGAAUAAGUAGCAGAUGUCUCCCUGUUUCAGAAAGCUGGUGGUUGAUGCAAACCAGCACAUAGGCAGUUUGUGAAUUACCUCCUGGAGCUUUCCUUGUGAACCGUUUAGUAGCAAGGAACGGAUUGAAACCGUUAUGAAAUGAAGUGAAAAGCUUUUUUUAGCGAGCUUUUAAUUAGGGUGGUACCGCGAGAUUGUAAUCACGUCCCUUUC
Molecule: non-coding RNA, 226 nt
Filed under: Fictibacillus arsenicus
Lineage: Bacteria; Bacillati; Bacillota; Bacilli; Caryophanales; Fictibacillaceae
Description: T-box sequence
Rfam family: T-box leader
About the family: Uncharged tRNA acts as the effector for transcription antitermination of genes in the T-box leader family. T-boxes are found upstream of many aminoacyl-tRNA synthetase genes and some amino acid biosynthetic genes usually in Gram-positive bacteria.
Source: RNAcentral